Hydra vulgaris (swiftwater hydra) is the source of this 3283-nucleotide non-coding RNA. Lineage: Eukaryota; Metazoa; Cnidaria; Hydrozoa; Anthoathecata; Hydridae. The record is from RefSeq and is a predicted model, not a curated record.
UUAAAGAGCUUUCGGAAUUAAAUUUAAUGUUUCCAAGAAUACAGGAUUCUUACCAAUUUAACACAGAUAUGAUGGAUUUUGUACCCUUAACUAAAAGAACUCUUGGUUAUACAGCAUUAAGGAAUCAGUUGUCACUGACACAAAUAUAGAUUUAAAUUGUGAAAAUGUUCAGGAAUCAGUUAUGCGUGACACAACAAGUAUGGAUUCAUAUUGUGAAAAUUUUCAGGAACCAUCUGAACUUAAUGUGACAGCUGAAAUUAACAAUGAAGUACUUCGUAAUGAUAAAAGGAAAAAACCAAAAAGAUUUUGUAUAUUUUGUAAAACCUACAGCUCCUAUUUGUCACGGCAUAUCAUUCUAGUGUUCAUAAAAAACUGCCAGAAGUUAUUGCAUUAAAAACUUGUAAUAAAGCAGAAAAGAACGAAAUAUUGCAAUCUUUUAAAAGAAAAGGGAUUUUUGAAGUGAAUAUGAAAGAAUGUAAUAAAGAAAACCCUAGGUUUGAAAGGGAGAAGCAUGCAGUAAAACAUAUGGGUAUAAACUAUUGCAGCAAAUGCAUGAAAUUUGUAUCGAAAAAAUUCUGGCAUAAUCAUUUUAAAUUUUGUCAGAAAGACUCAAGUAUGAAAGUUCAUCCUGUUCCGGUGAACACUUUAGGAAUACCAAAAAAUUCUUUAAUAUCGGAAGGUUUUAAAAAAGAUAUAAUGUCUCAUUUUAAAUGUGACAAAAUUUUUAAUAUUUGUAUGAAGGAUAUAAUGAUUCUUAAAAUAGGUUCAAUGAUGUAUGAACGAGAAAGAAAUAACAAAGAUAAGGUUAGAGUGUCUAGAAACUCUGUAAGAAGUUCUAUGAGGCAACUGGCAUACUUAUAUGAUAUUUUUUGUCAACAGGAAAAUAUAGCAAAGGUGCACAAUAACUUGUCUGAUAUGUUCUUGAGACAAAACUUUAUGUCAUUUAAAGAAUCAGUUGAAAUAUAUACUACAAAAGAUUCAGUAAAUAUUAAAGCUGGUCUUAAACAAAAUUUGUUAUUUUUAAAAAUAAAAGCGCUUAAGAUCAUGAAAGGCAUUUAUUUUACGGAGUGUAAAGACAGUGAUGCAAUUCAAAUUGAUGAGUUCAAUUCAAUAUUUAAUAUGUGGAAGGCUUCUAUGUUUAGAGAUGCUAGUAUUAGUUUGCUUAAAAACAAGCAAACUAAAUUACGAAAACUAGCUAAACUUCCUGUGGAUGAAGAUGUAAUAAUGUUUAGAGACCAUGUUAUCUCAAGAAUGGAAAGCCUUACAAGCGAUCCAUUUUAUAUGUUUGAUUUGGAUAGUUUUGUUGAGCUAAGAGAUUGUGCGUGUGCAAGACUCACAUUGCUUAAUGGUAGAAGAGGAGGUGAACCAGCAAGGCUCUUUUUAAGUGAAUACAAUGAAGCCCUUGACGAUGAUUAUAUAGAUAAGUCACGUUUGGAUGAGUUUAACACAACUGACCAAAAAUUAAUCAAAAAUAUAAAAAUAACAUACAUGGCUGGCAAAGGGACGAAACAAGUUCCUGUUUUAAUACCACCAGAAACAAUGGCAGCAUUAAAAAUUAUAUCAGAUUCAAAUAUAAGGGCAAGUGUAAACAUUCCAAUAGAAAACAAGUAUCUAUUUGCUUGCACAAAGAAUUCUGACAGCCAUACCUCUGGCUGGAGUGCGAUAAACAGUAUUGCCCAAAAUCUAAACUUAAAAAAACCAGAGAAUUUUAAAGCAACUGGUAAUAGACAUUACAUUAGCACUAUUUUUUCUAAUCUUGAUAUACCAGAAUUGGAUAGAGAACUAUUUUACACCCAUAUGGGCCAUUCAAAAGAUACCAACAAAAAUACUUAUCAAACUCCACAAGCUAUGCAGACAAUUACACGCAUAGGGAGCAGGCUUUUAGAGAUUGAGGGUGGUAAUAAACCUACGAAGUUUUGUCAACCUACAGAUACAUCAGAACAGACAAGCAAUGGUGGUAAUAAACCUACAAAGUUUUGUCAACCUACAUAUGUAUCAGAACAGACAAGCAAUGAGGCAUCUUGUUCAACUUGGACUAAGCAAAGUCACCGUGAGAGUAAAAAUAUAUUAUCAGACAAAUCAAUAAAAAGAAAAAAUGACUGAAUUUAAAUAUUAAAAAUGAAUAACAAAUGUGGAUCUGGGCGACCACCAAGAAAAAGAACACAUAAUAUUAUAACUAGACAUCAAAGUGAAACAUAUGCUGGACAACCAAAUGAACUACCUGUUAGUGACCUCCCAACAUAUAAACAGUUUAUUCAAUAUAUAAGGUCGAAAAUGAAAUAACUACAACUGAAAAAAUUGACUCUCCAGCCGUAGUUUUAAAAGUGAGUGAAGAAAUUUUAAAAAUUUGGAAAAACCUUAAUCCAAAUCUUCCACUAAUGAAAGAGAAACCUCUAAGAAAUAAGGUACAAAGAACAUUUCAAAAAGUAAUUGCAGCUGAACGAUCUAAAGCUUCAAAACAUAAAAAUAUUGUUUGUUGGUUAGAUAAUAACCUUUUAAAGUUAUUUGAUAUAUCAGCAUGCAGAUGUGAACUUCCUCUUUUAAAUUGUGAUGACAGAAAUGUUCAAUGCAAGGGUUGCUCUAACAAGCACUAUAUAUGUCUCUGUGAAAAAAGUAAACAGGUUCCAGUUCUAGAACGAGAGUAUUUAAAGGACCAGAAAGUUAAGCAAGGGCCCUUUGGAACCUGGCAGAUAGGCCGAAUUGAUAAGAAAGAAACAGCCAUGACUGCAAGAAAAAGAAAUAAGGAGAAAAUUAAUAUGAAAAGUGACACAACACUCCAUUCAGAUAAUGAUUAUAUUAGUGAAACUGAUAUGGAAAUAGAUAACGAUGAUGAUUAUAAAAAGCAGAAUCGUGAGUUUUUUGCAAAACCACUGUGUGAAAAAAAUUACACAGAUUUAACUAACAUUGCCAAAGCUGCCAUUAGGUUCCAAGUUAGUGAUGCUGCAACAUCUGCCAUAACAACUGCUACCUUGAUAGACUAUCAAAUUAUAACUCAGAAUGACAGAUCACAAAUUACCACUGAAAAAAAGAUAUUUGACACUAAAAAGCGUGUUUCAACCAUGUUUAGUGAAAAACACUGUUCAGAAGUUUUCCAUUUGAAAGUCAUUGGAGUAGAUAGUAAAAAAAGACAAAAAUACAUUAGCACAUAUAUUAGGAUAUGAUCAUAAUGCUGAACCUAUUGUUAAUAGAACAGUAAAGGAUGAACAUCACUUAACUUUUACUGCAGAAAGUGGACCUUUUUCUAAAAAAUAUUUAACUCAUAUUGAAAUAAAAAAUGGAACAG